This 74-nucleotide transfer RNA is filed under the name bacterium. RNAcentral's name for it is "tRNA-Ile". It matches the Rfam family "tRNA". Rfam says of the family: Transfer RNA (tRNA) molecules are approximately 80 nucleotides in length. RNAcentral also lists the same sequence under 1 other name. The record is from RNAcentral.
GGGCCUAUAGCUCAGUUGGUUAGAGCAACGGACUCAUAAUCCGUCGGUCGUAGGUUCGAGUCCUACUGGGCCCA